ACAGGGAGACCUGUAGGUCGAUGGGGGCAAGAGAAAGCUUUCAAACUUUAGGUUUACGGGAGUCAUGGGCUAUUAGCUCAGGUGGUUAGAGCGCACCCCUGAUAAGGGUGAGGUCCCUGGUUCGAGUCCAGGAUGGCCCACCUGUAUGGGAUAAUAUUCUAGCAUUGGCUCUGAGUUAUAAUAACAAGAGAGAAUGCUGGAAAAAGUUUCCAGCCAGAACCUUGAAAACUGCAUAGAAUUAAGAAGAGAAAGUAAA
Molecule: transfer RNA, 256 nt
Filed under: uncultured Synechocystis sp.
Lineage: Bacteria; Bacillati; Cyanobacteriota; Cyanophyceae; Synechococcales; Merismopediaceae
Description: 16S-23S ribosomal RNA intergenic spacer
Rfam family: tRNA (bases 67-140)
Source: RNAcentral